RNAcentral lists this small RNA (29 nucleotides) under Bombyx mori (domestic silkworm). Its description in RNAcentral is "ovarian small RNA-25104". Lineage: Eukaryota; Metazoa; Arthropoda; Insecta; Lepidoptera; Bombycidae. The record is from RNAcentral.
UCACCAGGUGGGCCCCAGGUGGCGGCUCU